CUCCCUUUGACAUCUACAGAAGCCGAAGAGAUUCUGGGGUGCCUUCGGGAACUGUAAGACAGGUGCUGCAUGGCUGUCGUCAGCUCGUGUUGUGAAAUGUUGGGUUAAGUCCCGUAACGAGCGCAACCCUUGUCCUUAUUUGCCAGCGAGUAAUGGCGGGAACUCUAAGGAGACUGCCGGUGACAAACCGGAGGAAGGUGGGGACGACGUCAAGUCAUCAUGGCCCUUACGGGUAGGGCUACACACGUGCUACAAUGGUCGGUACAAAGGGUUGCCAGCUCGCGAGAGUCAGCUAAUCCCUUAAAGUCGGUCUCAGUCCGGAUCGGAGUCUGCAACUCGACUCCGUGAAGUCGGAAUCGCUAGUAAUCGUGAAUCAGAAUGCCACGGUGAAUACGUUCCCGGGCCUUGUACACACCGCCCG
RNAcentral lists this ribosomal RNA (421 nucleotides) under Halomonas sp. AED3. RNAcentral's name for it is "bacterial SSU rRNA". It matches the Rfam family "Bacterial small subunit ribosomal RNA", at positions 975 to 1396 of the family's 1533-position model. Lineage: Bacteria; Pseudomonadati; Pseudomonadota; Gammaproteobacteria; Oceanospirillales; Halomonadaceae. The record is from RNAcentral.